UCCGAGUUGCCCCGGCAGUUCCGUAUGAGUGCGCGUUUCCGCUGGCAACAUACAGUGAGGGUUGCGCUCGUUGCGGGACUUAACCCAACAUCUCACGACACGAGCUGACGACAGCCAUGCAACACCUGUCUCCCUGUCCUCUUGCGAGGAAAACCGGCUUUCACCGGCGGUCAGGGGAUGUCAAGCCUGGGUAAGGUUCUUCGGUUAGUGACGAAUUAAACCACAUACUCCACCGCUUGUGCGGGCCCCCGUCAAUUCCUUUGAGUUUCAGUCUUGCGACCGUACUCCCCAGGCGGCGAACUUAACGCGUUAGCUUCGAUACUGCGUGCCAAAUUGCACCCAACAUCCAGUUCGCAUCGUUUAGGGCGUGGACUAC
This 376-nucleotide unclassified non-coding RNA is filed under the name uncultured bacterium. Its description in RNAcentral is "contains 16S-23S intergenic spacer region". The record is from RNAcentral.